This 229-nucleotide long non-coding RNA is filed under the name Elaeis guineensis (African oil palm). Its description in RNAcentral is "long non-coding RNA (EGUI_LNC010995)". Lineage: Eukaryota; Viridiplantae; Streptophyta; Magnoliopsida; Arecales; Arecaceae. The record is from RNAcentral.
GGGUGCAACAGGAGAUUUGCAGCAACAGAUUGACAUGCCAGGAAGGAAAAAGAUACGAAAAAAUUAUGAUAAAAAUUAGAGCUCAAAAUAACUCUAUAGGAUCCGCGAGGCAAUCUUUCCGUCAGAAAGAUCUUCCUCCCAUACUUCCAUUGGCAGAGCCCAGCUUUUCACAUCCUGUAGUCACUAUGGAUGCGUAAAUUACUGCUUUAAUGCAGCAAAUGAAAGUGUU